CUCACACGCUCUUGAUAAAUAUAAAUAUCUAGAUGAAGAAUUGUCAAAGUUUGGGUAAGAAAAACAGUCCUUGCUCCUGCAGUUCUCUCCUUCCCAGGCUGGGUUGUCUGCCCUCCAUGCAGAGCACACUUUGCAGGCAGAGGGGGGACCACACCAAGCUACAGCAAAACCUUCUCCAGAGCAGCCAUGAGAAUGUUCAGCACCUCCACUCCUGGGCUGGCUGGAUUAUUAAAACAACAUUUCCACUUCCAACCUACAGCUAAAAAGCUUCACCCCAAGAGCUUCGCUGCCCAAAAGAGGCCGUGCUGCAAAGCCACCUCAAAAGGCCCAGAACACCUGGUUUCAGGCACAACAGGAAGAUCAGAACAUACCUUAUCAUAAAUAUGCAUAUGCGAGGCAGGAGCCCGCCACCUUCUUGGAGUGAUGCCAUAAUUGACGGAACAAAGUACAACAAAACUUCACAUCACUGGUGGAUCAGAAGAACAGAGGAGAGCUGCUGAAAUGGCAAGCAGAGGCCGGUUCCAGAUAUUGCUCUGGGUCUGUGAGAGGAAAGUGAUGCAGAGGAGUCUAAUUCAU
This is a long non-coding RNA of Melospiza georgiana, 576 nucleotides long. RefSeq lists it as uncharacterized. NCBI's taxonomy places the organism in Eukaryota, Metazoa, Chordata, Aves, Passeriformes, Passerellidae. The transcript is spliced from 3 exons. The record is from RefSeq and is a predicted model, not a curated record.